Molecule: ribosomal RNA, 397 nt
Filed under: uncultured bacterium
Lineage: Bacteria
Description: bacterial SSU rRNA
Rfam family: Bacterial small subunit ribosomal RNA
Source: RNAcentral
AUUGAACGCUGGCGGCAUGCCUUACACAUGCAAGUCGAGCGGCAGCGCGGGGGCAACCCUGGCGGCGAGCGGCGGACGGGUGAGUACUACAUCGGAACGUGUCCUUUCGUGGGGGAUAACCAGUCGAAAGACUGGCUAAUACCGCAUGAGAUCUCACGAUGAAAGCGGGGGACCGCAAGGCCUCGCGCGAUUGGAGCGGCCGAUGUCGGAUUAGCUAGUUGGCGGGGUAAAAGCCCACCAAGGCGACGAUCCGUAGCUGGUUUGAGAGAACGACCAGCCACACUGGGACUGAGACACGGCCCAGACUCCUACGGGAGGCAGCAGUGGGGAAUUUUGGACAAUGGGCGCAAGCCUGAUCCAGCCAUGCCGCGUGUGUGAAGAAGGCCUCGGUUGUAAG